RNAcentral lists this ribosomal RNA (1350 nucleotides) under uncultured bacterium. RNAcentral's name for it is "bacterial SSU rRNA". It matches the Rfam family "Bacterial small subunit ribosomal RNA", at positions 28 to 1381 of the family's 1533-position model. The record is from RNAcentral.
AUUGAACGCUGGCGGCAUGCUUUACACAUGCAAGUCGAACGGCAGCGCGGGGCAACCUGGCGGCGAGUGGCGAACGGGUGAGUAAUAUAUCGGAACGUACCCAAGAGUGGGGGAUAACGUAGCGAAAGUUACGCUAAUACCGCAUACGAUCUAAGGAUGAAAGUGGGGGAUUCGCAAGAACCUCAUGCUCCUGGAGCGGCCGAUAUCUGAUUAGCUAGUUGGUGAGGUAGAGGCUCACCAAGGCUACGAUCAGUAGCUGGUCUGAGAGGACGACCAGCCACACUGGAACUGAGACACGGUCCAGACUCCUACGGGAGGCAGCAGUGGGGAAUUUUGGACAAUGGGCGCAAGCCUGAUCCAGCAAUGCCGCGUGAGUGAAGAAGGCCUUCGGGUUGUAAAGCUCUUUUGUCAGGGAAAGAACGGUGGGAGCUAAUAUCUCCUACUAAUGACGGUACCUGGAGAAAUAGCACCGGGCUACUACAUGCCAGCAGCCGCGGUAAUACGUAAGGUGCAAGCGUUAAUCGGAAUUACUGGGCGUAAAGCGUGCGCGGCGGUUUUGUAGUCUGAUGUGAAAUCCCCGGGCUCAACCUGGGAAUUGCAUUGGAGACUGCAAGGCUAGAAUCUGGCAGAGGGGGGUAGAAUUCCACGUGUAGCAGUGAAAUGCGUAGAGAUGUGGAGGAACACCGAUGGCGAAGGCAGCCCCCUGGGUCAAGAUUGACGCUCAUGCACGAAAGCAUGGGGAGCAAACAGGAUUAGAUACCCUGGUAGUCCACGCCCUAAACGAUGUCUACUAGUUGUCGGGUUUUAAUUAACUUGGUAACGCAGCUAACGCGUGAAGUAGACCGCCUGGGGAGUACGGUCGCAAGAUUAAAACUCAAAGGAAUUGACGGGGACCCGCACAAGCGGUGGAUGAUGUGGAUUAAUUCGAUGCAACGCGAAAAACCUUACCUACCCUUGACAUGUACGGAAGCCACGAGAGAUCGAGGUGUGCUCGAAAGAGAGCCGUAACACAGGUGCUGCAUGGCUGUCGUCAGCUCGUGUCGUGAGAUGUUGGGUUAAGUCCCGCAACGAGCGCAACCCUUGUCAUUAGUUGCUACGAAAGAGCACUCUAAUGAGACUGCCGGUGACAAACCGGAGGAAGGUGGGGAUGACGUCAAGUCCUCAUGGCCCUUAUGGGUAGGGCUUCACACGUCAUACAAUGGUACAUACAGAGGGCCGCCAACCCGCGAGGGGGAGCUAAUCCCAGAAAGUGUAUCGUAGUCCGGAUUGUAGUCUGCAACUCGACUACAUGAAGUUGGAAUCGCUAGUAAUCGCGGAUCAGCAUGUCGCGGUGAAUACGUUCCCGGGUCU